Molecule: non-coding RNA, 253 nt
Filed under: uncultured bacterium
Lineage: Bacteria
Also listed under: 1 other name
Description: partial 16S ribosomal RNA
Rfam family: Bacterial small subunit ribosomal RNA
Source: RNAcentral
UACGAAGGGUGCAAGCGUUACUCGGAAUUACUGGGCGUAAAGCGUGCGUAGGUGGUUUGUUAAGUCUGAUGUGAAAGCCCUGGGCUCAACCUGGGAAUUGCAUUGGAUACUGGCAGUCUAGAGUGCGGUAGAGGGUAGCGGAAUUCCCGGUGUAGCAGUGAAAUGCGUAGAUAUCGGGAGGAACAUCCGUGGCGAAGGCGGCUACCUGGACCAGCACUGACACUGAGGCACGAAAGCGUGGGGAGCAAACAGG